ACGGGAGGCAGCAGUGAGGAAUAUUGGUCAAUGGACGUAAGUCUGAACCAGCCAAGUAGCGUGAGGGAUGACGGCCAUAUGGUUGUAAACCUCUUUUGCGAGGGAAUAAAGUGCGUCACGUGUGGUGCAUUGCAUGUACCUUGCGAAUAAGGAUCGGCUAACUCCGUGCCAGCAGCCGCGGUAAUACGGAGGAUCCGAGCGUUAUCCGGAUUUAUUGGGUUUAAAGGGAGCGUAGGCGGGAAGUCAAGUCAGCUGUGAAAUGUAGUCGCUCAACGUCUGCACUGCAGUUGAAACUGGUUUUCUUGAGUGCGUAAGAGGCAGGUGGAAUUUGUCGUGUAGCGGUGAAAUGCUUAGAUAUGACGAAGAACUCCGAUUGCGAAGGCAGCCUGCUGGGCCGCAACUGACGCUGAAGCUCGAAGGUGCGGGUAUCGAACAGGAUUAGAUACCCUGGUA
RNAcentral lists this ribosomal RNA (453 nucleotides) under uncultured Bacteroides sp. RNAcentral describes it as "partial 16S ribosomal RNA". It matches the Rfam family "Bacterial small subunit ribosomal RNA", at positions 341 to 792 of the family's 1533-position model. Lineage: Bacteria; Pseudomonadati; Bacteroidota; Bacteroidia; Bacteroidales; Bacteroidaceae. The record is from RNAcentral.